RNAcentral lists this ribosomal RNA (253 nucleotides) under uncultured bacterium. RNAcentral describes it as "partial 16S ribosomal RNA". It matches the Rfam family "Bacterial small subunit ribosomal RNA", at positions 524 to 776 of the family's 1533-position model. The record is from RNAcentral.
UACAUAGGGUGCAAGCGUUAUUCGGAAUAACUGGGCGUAAAGGGCGUGUAGGUGGCUUCAGAAGUCUGGCGUUAAAUCUCUUGGCUCAACCAAGAGCUCGCGUUGGAAACCAUGGAGCUUGAGUCCUGCAGGGGUAAGCGGAAUUCCCGGUGUAGCAGUGAAAUGCGUUGAUAUCGGGAGGAACACCUAUGGCGAAGGCAAUCCCCUGGGCCUGCACUGACGCUCAUGCACGAAAGCGUGGGGAGCAAACAGG